AUAUACAGCCAUACCACCCUGAGAACGCAAGAUCUCGUCUGAUCUCGGAAGCUAAGCAGGGUCAGACCCAGUCAGUACUUGGAUGGGAGACCAGCUGGGAAUAGCGGGUGCUGUGGGCU
This 119-nucleotide ribosomal RNA is filed under the name Patagioenas fasciata monilis. Lineage: Eukaryota; Metazoa; Chordata; Aves; Columbiformes; Columbidae. The record is from RNAcentral.